This 254-nucleotide ribosomal RNA is filed under the name uncultured bacterium. RNAcentral describes it as "partial 16S ribosomal RNA". It matches the Rfam family "Bacterial small subunit ribosomal RNA", at positions 524 to 777 of the family's 1533-position model. The record is from RNAcentral.
UACGUAGGGUGCAAGCGUUGUCCGGAAUUAUUGGGCGUAAAGAGCUCGUAGGUGGCCUGUCGCGUCGGCUGUGAAAACUCGGGGCUCAACUCCGAGCUUGCAGUCGAUACGGGCAGGCUAGAGUUCGGUAGGGGAUACUGGAAUUCCUGGUGUAGCGGUGAAAUGCGUAGAUAUCAGGAGGAAUACCUAUGGCGAAAGCAGGUAUCUGGGCCAUCACUGACGCUGAGGAGCGAAAGCGUGGGGAGCGAACAGGA